This 502-nucleotide long non-coding RNA is filed under the name Homo sapiens (human). RNAcentral's name for it is "HSALNT0298091". The record is from RNAcentral. Lineage: Eukaryota; Metazoa; Chordata; Mammalia; Primates; Hominidae.
GUCUAAUCAGCUGCCAGUGCGGCCAGAAUAAAAGCAGGCAGAAGAACGUGAAAAGACUAGACUGGUUUAGCCUCCCAGCCUACAUCUUCCUCCCAUGCUGGUUGCUUCCUGCCCUCAAAUAUCAGACUCCAGGUUAUUCAGCUUGGGGACUCAGACUUGCUCCUUGCUCCUCAGCUUGCAGCCAGCCUAUUAUGGGACCUCAUCUUGUGAUCGAUUCCCCAGGAUCAACCAUCUGAGCAGAUACCUUGGAAUGUCCCCAGAUUUCAGAGCCUCGGACCAGCAGCAACACACUCUGAAGUAGGUCUCAGAAGACAAAAAGCUGAAAUCAACUCAUGCUUCCUGCUACACAGAAUCCACUGAGAGGAAAAGGAAACUUCACCGAAACUUCAGAAAGCUACAGAAAUGACAUCCAUUUUCACAAUCCCAGAAGGAAAGAUGCAUCUGAAGGGAAUAAAAACAGAGCAAUGGAAGAGUAUUUGUUAAAAUAAAUGGCUUUGACAGG